UGCAGUCGAGCGAACUGACGAGGAGCUUGCUCCUUUGACGUUAGCGGCGGACGGGUGAGUAACACGUGGGUAACCUACCUAUAAGACUGGAAUAACUCCGGGAAACCGGGGCUAAUGCCGGAUAACAUAUCGAACCGCAUGGUUCGAUAGUGAAAGACGGUCUUGCUGUCACUUAUAGAUGGACCCGCGCCGUAUUAGCUAGUUGGUGAGGUAAUGGCUCACCAAGGCAACGAUACGUAGCCGACCUGAGAGGGUGAUCGGCCACACUGGAACUGAGACACGGUCCAGACUCCUACGGGAGGCAGCAGUAGGGAAUCUUCCGCAAUGGGCGAAAGCCUGACGGAGCAACGCCGCGUGAGUGAUGAAGGUCUUCGGAUCGUAAAGCUCUGUUGUUAGGGAAGAACAAAUGUGUAAGUAACUGUGCACAUCUUGACGGUACCUAACCAGAAAGCCACGGCUAACUACGUGCCAGCAGCCGCGGUAAUACGUAGGUGGCAAGCGUUAUCCGGAAUUAUUGGGCGUAAAGCGCGCGUAGGCGGUUUUUUAAGUCUGAUGUGAAAGCCCACGGCUCAACCGUGGAGGGUCAUUGGAAACUGGAAAACUUGAGUGCAGAAGAGGAAAGUGGAAUUCCAUGUGUAGCGGUGAAAUGCGCAGAGAUAUGGAGGAACACCAGUGGCGAAGGCGGCUUUCUGGUCUGUAACUGACGCUGAUGUGCGAAAGCGUGGGGAUCAAACAGGAUUAGAUACCCUGGUAGUCCACGCCGUAACGAUGAGUGCUAAGUGUUA
Molecule: ribosomal RNA, 785 nt
Filed under: Staphylococcus sp. V18-PCA-E14
Lineage: Bacteria; Bacillati; Bacillota; Bacilli; Caryophanales; Staphylococcaceae
Description: bacterial SSU rRNA
Rfam family: Bacterial small subunit ribosomal RNA
Source: RNAcentral